Bactrocera dorsalis (oriental fruit fly) is the source of this 6911-nucleotide long non-coding RNA. RefSeq lists it as uncharacterized. The record is from RefSeq and is a predicted model, not a curated record. Lineage: Eukaryota; Metazoa; Arthropoda; Insecta; Diptera; Tephritidae. The transcript is spliced from 2 exons.
CCCAAAAAAACCUAAAGCUGUGUAUUCGGCUGGGAAAGUGAUGGCGAGUGUUUUUUGGGACAGCCAUGGAAUUAUUUUUAUCGACUAUCUUGAAAAAGGAAAAACUAUAACAGGAGCAUACUACGCAUCAUUAUUGGACAAGCUAAAGGAAGAAAUUUCGAAAAAUCGGCCACAUUUGCAAAAAAAGAAAGUCUUGUUCCACCAAGACAACGCACCAUCUCACACCUCAACAGUCGCCAUGGCGAAAAUCCACGAAUUGCGGUUCGAACUGCUGGACCAUCCACCUUAUUCACCGGAUCUAGCACCAAGCGACUUUUUUUUGUUUCCUCAACUUAAAACUGCGCUCGGCGGCCAGAGAUUUUCGUCAAAUGAGGAGGCAAUCUCUUUCGUGAACUCGUAUUUUGCAGACAAAGACGCCAAGUACUAUUUGGAAGGGUUGCAGAGAUAGGAGCAUCGCUGGGAGAAGUGUGUGGAGUUACAAGGAGACUAUGUAGAAAAACAAAAAAAAAAAAAAUUGAAAAAGUCGCGUGCAUCAUGGUUAGGUCGGUUAUUUAUCGGACAGCCCUCGUAAGAGUGGAUUUAGGUCAUCUAUUGAAAACUAUAGUGGAAUAGCAAAGUUGUUUGCAAUACCUAAACUUUUUGAAGCAAUUAUAACAGACGACGUAACCUACCGGAUCUCUCCACUAAUUUCUUGUUCUCAGCACGGUUUUCGUAAAGGGAAAUCUACAAUAACUAAUUUGCUUGAAUUUGUAUCACAUGUAUCAAGGGGCUUUAGGGAGAAUAAGAAUACUGAUGUUAAAUAAAUUAUUCAAAUGUAAUGUUUAGUUCAAAAUUACUUUAUUUGCCGUCAUCUCGGCUUAGUUGUCAAGUAUAAAGUGAAACUUUUAAUUAUCCCUAACUUAGCUCAUGCCACCAACCCGUAUCGCGUUGUGGCUCCUCUGCUGACGUUUUACUGACCUUGCGCCUCGUGCAUGGUGUUAGUUUACUUUGAUGUCUGGCCAAUGUUCUCACGCAAAAUGUGCUAACUUAGCGACAUGUGCAGAGUGAUAGGCUCUUAUUACGACGGGAAUUAGGGUGUGUCGUUUCCUCGCGAUAACUUUAGGGUGUGUCGUUUUCUCGCGAUAACUCCUCCCCUUCUAAAUGGGGAACGUCCUCGGUCCUCAAAGAAGCGGUUUCAAUUGCAGUUUCAACGGACCUGGCUAUGAUAAUCUCUCCCUUGGUCCUUCUUAUCCUGAGAAGGACGUAAACAGUGAAUGCCAUGAUUAAUAAGACACCAAAGGCUGAGAAACCUGUAACGUGGCCAUAAUGGAUUGAUCGCUGCAGGUGAUUGAUCCUUUGAACAUUCUCUAGAUUCACAUGGUGAAGAUAAGAAGCGCUUAAUAUUUCUGUGUGCUGCGUCAAGUUGAUUGUAGAAGCCCAUGGAGUUUCAGGUUUUAGAGGAAACGUAGAAUUUUCGUUAUAAAAAGUCGUACCAUUAAUCUUUACGUUGUUUUUGAAGACCACGAGGUAUGUUCCGUUGACCGUAAUAGGGACCUCAUUAUUUUCCUCGAUGACAGCCAAUUGGUCAUUGAACACAACAAGGCCGUCACUUAUCGGUGAAAUUGGUGUGAGGUUGUUAAAUGUUGUACUGCAAUUAGCGGUGUUGCGAGUCAGUAGCUGCAGAGCGCAUGAUGUAGUCGGAGAUGGUAAGCAAAACGUUGGUGUUGUGUCGCUGCAGUUCUUUACGGCUACGGUAUGGUUAUAACACUUGGCUAAGAUGGAUUGUUCAAGGUGCAGGAUUUGGUGGACAUGAGCUACUGGUAAAAUAGUAAUUUUCUUACAUCUAAACAUAGGAAUCGGAUAUCUUAUUAAAAAGUAAAUUAUGUUAUUAUACUGUAAUAUCUUAAUUCUAGCUUCUGCCAUAACAUCGGCCAUGGUAAGGUCAGUGAAGUGCUCGUCUCCUGUUAUGAAAUUUAUUUCGUUACUGUCUAAGAGAAUGGGACUUAAGACCCCAAUUUUGGCGAAAGUGACAGCUGUUAUAAUGUUAUUUAAUUCCGUAAUAAUUGCUCUGUUUCUAGCCAGUGUUUAUUUCUCUUUCUUUUGUUAAUUUCAGGAUUUUAUUUACUGUAAUGGUAAGGUUAUUGAUUUCUUUCUGUACUUGAGUGUUUAUGGUAAACUGUCUGUCCUGUGAGUUAAUUAACUGUUCUUCUGUGUUCAUUAAUCUAUUGAAGUCGUCAUGCUCAGGAGUUCCGGUAAUGUAUUUCAGGACUGUCCCUAGGGCAUUCAGGCUUCUCGCCUGUCUGUGGUGAGCGUUUAUCUUUUGUAUCAGUCGACUUAUCUGGUUUAUGUCCGCGUCUAGUAACUUCCUCAUAUGUGACUGAGGAAAGCGGUCUGUGGCAUUAAUUGUCUCGUCUCUCAGUAAUUCGUAAAGUGUCAAGUUGGUAACAUGCUUGAUGUGUCCUGAAUUCUCCCAAAUUACAAGGUCCUCACCGACCACCGGAAUGUACCUUGCAUUGGUAUAGUCCAGGGAUGGGCACAUUUUUAGCCCGAAAAGUUAGCAAAGUGCGCACGGGGGCUAGAUGAGGGGAAUAUCAGUUUACGGAGAGAAGGGCAUAACAAGUUGAGAAAAAUUGCGAAAAAAAUGAAUUACAUUCCUCCGGAACUUAAUGUUCAUCGCAGAGUGGUUGCGGCAAUACUGACAUUGUACACAAAUUUAAGGGUGGAAGUUUACUUCAUAUCGGAAUUGUACAGUUGUGUGAACAAAAAGGGGUAAACAUAAAUUGCAGAGUUUAGAGUUUCGCAUUAAAAUUUGUUUUUAUUUACCUUUGCAUGGUGGGAAAUUUUAAUCACUGUUAGGAAAAAAUAUAUAUAUGUUAUGUUAUGUAUCUAAAAACAAUUUUAUUUAAUAAGAAAACAGCAUAUUUUAAAACUUCACAACACCUUAUGGUUAUUUCUAUUUUGUUCACACCACUGUACAUGUGAUAGAUCAGUCAAUGGUGGUGAUGCCAGUUGUAAAAAUUCAUUUUAGUUACAAUUGGGAAAACUUUUAUCAAGUUGUGUGUAUUAUAUAUAAUAUAUAUAUAUAUAUAUACUAUGGUCACAAGUAUCGUUUUUUUAUAUAUGCAUAUAUAUAAAACUGCCUUGCAUAUGUACGUAUAAAAGCCCACAACUUGAUAAAAGCUUUCCCAAUUGUAACUAAAAUGAAUAUAUAUAUAUAUAUAAUUUAAUGAAAAUGCUUAUAUAAAUAUAUGUAUAUAUAUAUAUAUUAAUAUUUGUGAUAUUUUCAGUUUGGUUGUUUCAGCAAAAUAUUCAAAGAAUUUAGUUUUUUUUUAUAAUUGUUCUGUUAAAUUUUAAAAAUCUAAGUUGCUUCUGGAAAUGUAUUAAAAUAAUAAUACGCGCUAUAGAAAGGGAACACAUAUUUUCAAAAAUAUAAGAAUCAUCAAAUAAAAAUAUAUUUGCGCGGUAUGACAUUAUUGAUUGAGAGUGGCUAAGCACACAAAUAGAAUACAAACAUUUGUAAACAUGCUGUGGGAAAAUACGUUGCUCUCAUUUGUAAAUAUGGAGUGGUAAAACGUUGCUCUCACUUCCCUCUUCAUGUUUGCCCGCGAUGAUCCCCUCACCUAGCCCUCAAAAUGUGCACUCGUGCCCACACGGGCAAAAUGCCACUGAGGGCUAAUGUGCCCAUCCCUGGUAUAGUCGAUUAACCUUCCUGUCGUUGCCGAUAUUGAUAUGGCCAAAGUUAUGAAAAUCCUAAAAAUAUAUAUGAAACUUUUUGUUAAUUGUUUAUCAUUAGAAACACCUAGGUUCUAGAUUAAGUUUAACGAAGGUUGUCCUUAUGGACCCUCCUCCCUUUUAUUAAAACUGUUGUACCCAAGUCCUUUUCCACCUCUUCCUCAGUAUAAAGAGGCGUAAGCUUAUUGCCUAGUCUCCUGUUAUUUUUAACAAGUACUUUUUCUCCAACAGGGAACUCCCUAUCCUCCCUGUUCUUAUUAUGAUUUGUUAGUUCUCUUUCCUGUGCGUUUCUUAAGCGGCAUGGUAUUUGGUUGUCAUCUUUAAUUGAACGAAAUACGGAAAUACUGUGUGAAUGGACCUGUUAUACUCAAUCGUAGCUAAAAGGACAAUUUCCUCAACAUCAUCAAGAUUUUUGUCAAGUUUAAGGCAUCGUGCUAUUUCCAUUAGUGUGUUAUGGAAUCGCUCCACUUGACCAUUUGAUGUACUAUGUAGUGGUGGAGCAUUCGCAGUGUCGAUAUUGAAGUGAUUCUUUAAUGUAGCUUUGAUGCUGUGUGAAUUCAGCGACUUCUCAUUGUCGCAAUAAACUAUUCGAGUACCGAAAAACAUAUUGAGUAACUGAAGGAGCUGUGGUUUCACAUCUACUAUCGUUCUUGAUUUCAACGACUGUACUAUCGCAAAUUUUGAAAACUUGUCGAUGCACGUCAAGAAGAACUUGGACCCGGUAGAAAAUAUGUCGAUGUGAAGAAUUUCUCCACAAUAUGUUGGUAUGGGCGUUUGAGCAAUAAGCUGCUUCUUUGGGUGCCGAUCAUACUUCGCCGGCGAGCAAGUUCGACAAUUUCCCACAAAUUGUUUAACUUUUUUCUCCAUUUUUGGAAAGAAAUAAUCCUCUAAAAAUUGUUUUGUGUUCUCCUGCGCUGCUCGAUGCGCUCUGUUAUGUUCAGCAGCGAUAAUUUCCUGCUGCUCAUUCGGAUUUGUAAUGUCGUUAAUGAAUUUCUCCGUAUGUCUGAAUUUAACUGUUGGAAACAUUUCGACCAGUUCGUGUUGAAACUGUGCAAGUGCAUGCAGAUCGCAGUGUAUUGCGUUUACUGCUGUUGUGUUUACGGCCUCCUGUAAAAGUUUUAAUAAAUCCUUUUUUUCUCGGUAAGAAAUGAUAUGCCUUGUCUCCUUUCCAAAAAUUAUAAAUUUCUUUGAGGUUCUGUAUCUACCUCCACAAUAAUCUGGUUGCGGAAGCAAUUUACCGGUUUUUCCGAUCUUUCAAUUGUAUGGGUUGAUGAUUCCUCGCUAUGAAUUGUCUCGACGCUCGUGUUAUCUAAAGCAUUUAUAUGUUGCCUAGAUAGAGCGUCUGCCACCACAUUUUCCUUUCCUGGUUUGUAGAUUAGCUUUGCGUUGCAUUCGUCUAUGAAGGCUUUCCAUCUUUUAAUUUUCGAAUUAGGAUUCCUAUCUGUACAAAUGAGCAUCUUCCCCCGGCCUCAACACACACACCAUAUUACCACACCACAUCGAUUAACACUUACAUCACUAACACGCAACAUUCACCACACCACACCACAUCGAUUAACACUUACAUCACUAACACGCAACAUUCACCACACCACAUCACAUCGAUUCAAGCUUACAUCCUACACGAGAGCAGCACACCGACACCUACACACACACGUACAUCGCCCACAGUCAUACCAUCCUAUUCAGCGCCAACGGGGAUAAAGAAGGAUCGAUGAUCAGAUUCAAGUUCAGUUCGUUUGCGACAUAAUCAGCGAUCGGUCGACUCUAUCCGCGCCCUCCCGUUUGUGAAACCAACCACAUAGUUACUUUUCAUUUUUGACAUAAUUCGCUUAAAUAAAGCAUAAACCCCCUUUCAAUUAUUGAGUGCGCUUUUUUUGAAUCUUUUAGUGAAGUGGAAAACCAUUAAAAAAGGUGAGUGCAUUGCUGCUACAUGGUCCUUCGAGCCAUACAGAAAGGCACAGUGGUAAAAAGUUAAAAAAUUAAGUGCAGUGACACAAAAUACGGAAAGUUAAUUGCAGUGACACAAAAUACGAAAUUAAACUUGGUGACAAAAAAAAAAAAAAAAUUCAAGAAAAUAUAUACAUAUAUACACAUAUGUACAAAGCAUUCAGAUAAAGAUCGUGGUACAACAACAAAAAAAAAAAAGUGAAAGUGCAGUCACCUAACCAAAAUAAGCAAAGUGCAGUGAAGAAUAUUCAAGUGCAAAAACAUAAGGAAAAAACGAAACAGUGACAACUAAUACAAACCCCCCCACGUCAAAAACAACACAAUAAUUCAACAUUUUCUAAUGCUACGAACAAAAUAAAAACGGGCGCGAAACUUAAAAAAUCAUUUUAAAUUAAUAUAUGUACAUAUAAUAAAAUUAAAAUUAAAAGAAACAACAACACAGCGGAACAGGAGCGACCAGCGACUCAGCAACAGAACAAACAACGGAAAGCUAAAACCCACCCGAUUCUGCCGAACUGGCAUACAUCCCCCCAAAACCCUUGAUGAAAAUACAAGCGAGUGUAUCCAUUCCUCAUUGAUUUUUAUCAUUUUAUAUAAUCUAUAUAUAUAAAAGAAAGUUGUUGUUAGUUACAUCAUUUAUAACUCAAGAACGGCUUAACCGAUUUGGCUGAAAAUUGGUGGAGAGGUAGCUUAGCUUCUAAAAAAUAAUGCAAUUGCUAAGUAUUUGGAACAGAAGAAAUGAACUGCAACCAAAUACGCAGUGAAGUAGAUUAUAACUGGCUCAGUAAUCAGUCGUUGAUUCCCAAAAGACUGAUGUUAUAACUUUUCCAGCCGACUUUUUGUUUUUCCACGCCUGAGAACCGGUUCAUCAUGUGCAGUCCACUAGAAUGACUGUCGAUUGAACUCCAGUGGGAAAUGAUGGAGCUAUGUUUCUAUUACCCACUUUAUUCCGAUUAGAGAGCACUUAAACACUUCUCAGAAUCAGUUAUUCGUUGUUUUUAUUGGAUUAUGAACUUGCGAGCCGCCUACUUUGUUUAUUUCGCCUGUUUCCAGCUUAGCAAAUGUCUUUUCAGCGGUGGAUUUCCCUGAGCCCAAAUUCAACAGUAUUUUUCCCAAAAAAACAAUGCUUUAUUGACACACGAAAUGUUUUAUGAUCCAUUUUUUGUAAACUAACACAAGUUGCUUCACAAAAAUGCUAUAUCUCAUUAACUAAUAGUUAUAAUCCAACUAAUAGAAAUCAUAUACAUAUA